AUCCAACUGACGAGUCCCAAACAAGACGAAAUGCGCGUCCAGGAU
RNAcentral lists this non-coding RNA (45 nucleotides) under Schistosoma margrebowiei. The record is from RNAcentral. Lineage: Eukaryota; Metazoa; Platyhelminthes; Trematoda; Strigeidida; Schistosomatidae.